GGCUUUAAAUAACAUGACAUGCUUGCGGACUUCAUGCCUAGAUCCAAAAAUGUUGUCCAACUAUGAAAUAAUGAACCAAGAACCAGAAUAUGAUGAAGAAGAGGCUAUUAGGGAAAUAAAUAGAGAAUUGGAACAAUUUAAGAAUAAACCUAAGCCAAACUUAGAUGACACUGAGCCGGAUAAUUUGGGUAGUUCUGAAGAAAU
RNAcentral lists this long non-coding RNA (204 nucleotides) under Nicotiana benthamiana. Its description in RNAcentral is "long non-coding RNA (NBEN_LNC016324)". Lineage: Eukaryota; Viridiplantae; Streptophyta; Magnoliopsida; Solanales; Solanaceae. The record is from RNAcentral.